This 292-nucleotide ribosomal RNA is filed under the name uncultured bacterium. RNAcentral describes it as "partial 16S ribosomal RNA". It matches the Rfam family "Bacterial small subunit ribosomal RNA", at positions 505 to 796 of the family's 1533-position model. The record is from RNAcentral.
GUGACAGCCGCCGCGGUAAUACGUAGGGUGCGAGCGUUGUCCGGAAUUAUUGGGCGUAAAGGGCUCGUAGGCGGUCUGUCGCGUCGGGAGUGAAAACCCAGGGCUUAACCCUGGGCCUGCUUCCGAUACGGGCAGACUAGAGGUGUGCAGGGGAGAACGGAAUUCCUGGUGUAGCGGUGAAAUGCGCAGAUAUCAGGAGGAACACCAGUGGCGAAGGCGGUUCUCUGGGCAUUACCUGACGCUGAGGAGCGAAAGUGUGGGGAGCGAACAGGAUUAGAUACCCUAGUAGUCC